GGGCCGGUGACGGACUUUCCGCCCGGCAUCAGGAUCGGCUUUCCGCGCAAGGGCCAGUUAAAAUUCUUCGGCGACACUGUCUCGGAGAAAAGUUACGACGCCGCCGUGGCGCGGCUGAUCGCGCNNNNNNNNNNNNAAUUCGACCUCGCGCCGUUCUAUGAGACCGCGCAACUGCUCUAUGAAGGCCCGUGGGUGGCGGAGCGCUAUCUGGUGAUCCGCGACCUGCUCGCGAAAGAUCCGG
Molecule: unclassified non-coding RNA, 241 nt
Filed under: Hevea brasiliensis (rubber tree)
Lineage: Eukaryota; Viridiplantae; Streptophyta; Magnoliopsida; Malpighiales; Euphorbiaceae
Source: RNAcentral